Pieris brassicae (large cabbage white) is the source of this 1503-nucleotide long non-coding RNA. RefSeq lists it as uncharacterized. Lineage: Eukaryota; Metazoa; Arthropoda; Insecta; Lepidoptera; Pieridae. The transcript is spliced from 3 exons. The record is from RefSeq and is a predicted model, not a curated record.
UCGUGUUUGGUUAUUUAUUGGUUUGUUUGUGUGUUCAGCUCUGUUAAAGGUAAAUUUAAACGAUACAAGUAAGAUUGAGAAGCGAGAGAAGAUUCUUUCUGAGAAGAGAAUUGUAAGACAACAGAAGAGAAAACGAAAGUUAUAUUUUUUAUUUCUAGAGAAUACUAAGAAAGUUUGGAAAAAUAUUGUAUAGUCAAAUCAAUGCUUCUUUUGUUUGACAAUCGCAUUGUUUAUUUAAUAUAUUUAUUCAGAAGGUCCUAGAUUCAAUUCCCUUCGAAUCCAAAAAUAUUUCGGUUCUAAAGGAUAAGUCUGCUAAUCCUUGUGAUUGUAAGCUGAAUAUUAUGAAAAAUGUUCACUUCAUUAGAGCUCAGUUAAUAUAUAUCAUACACCUGAUUAGUAGCAGCUGAAGUCGGUGGGUCGCCAACGGUCGUGACCCCAUCGGGCCCUAUAGUGGGGUCCUUGAUGACGUCACGCCGUGGCCGUCCCAUACACGCCUUCCGGGGCAUUCGCUAUGCGGAACCACCCAUCGGAGAACUGCGGUUCAGACUGCCAGUGUUACUAACAAAAUAUAAGGAAGAAACGCGACAGCGGAAGGCCCCGCGUGUCCACAAGAUGCUGACCCGGGCUACUUCCUUGACGAAGAUUGUCUGAGACUAAACGUGUACAAACCGGGAAGCAGACAUAUCACUUCCCUUUUACCCGUGGUGGUGUACAUCCACGCUGGAGCUACUACUCAGUGUCGGGAAGGUCAGCUGGGCCCCACUAUUUACUGGACAAGGAUCUCCUCCUUGUUACCAUUAACUAUCGCCUGGGUUCAUUGGGUAACAAUAUUUCAUGUUUUUAAUUUGUCUUUGUAUAUAAAUACUAGCUCAUGCACACGGCUGGGAGAGGCUGUUUCAGCGCAGAGGAAUCAGUCACCCACGAAGUCCUGGAAUGCGAGGCUGUGACUAAAGAACGUGUAGAAAUCCUCGGAACAGUGAGGUCGCUCCGUGAAGCCUGCGAGGUGCCCAGGAGGCUUCUGUGCUUUUGGAAGGAGUUAGGCUGGUUUAAUUAGCCAGGACUUUACGCACAAUGGACCUAUUGAGCGUCUAAGUGCGGAAACAGAGUCCACACAUAUACAAUACAAUCAUGCACACGGCUUCAUCCGCGAGAACUUGUGUCUUUUUUACUCACAACUUAUUUAUUUUUGAUGCAACACUUACAUUAUAAAAUGUCUCUAUAGGUAGAUGAAAAGGGAUUUUUUUGGCGGAAAACGCGCAACCUUGUGUAUUCUUUACUUUAAAUUGAACUUGAUUGAUCGAUCCUAACUAAUUUGACAAUUUGGCUCCUAUUAGAAAGAUAAUUGAGACACGAACCCCGUUUUUUGAACUUGAUUAUGUUAUUAUGUAAAUAACAAUCUGUCUUACGAUAAAUUUUAUGAUAAUGUUGCGAAAGUCUCGGCAUCACCUCUCUUAUAGGCAAUAGCCUCCAAAUAUGGAGUCAUCUCUGUAAAAGGUAUUAAUG